This 220-nucleotide unclassified non-coding RNA is filed under the name Hevea brasiliensis (rubber tree). Lineage: Eukaryota; Viridiplantae; Streptophyta; Magnoliopsida; Malpighiales; Euphorbiaceae. The record is from RNAcentral.
CGCCGAUGUUGAGCGAGGGAUCGACGCCGCCCGCGAUGCCGGAAAACAGGAUGGUGCGCAGAUUGAAGCGAUCGAUCGCCAUCUGCGCCGUCAUCGCCGCGUUGACCAUCGAGACGNNNNNNNNNNNCCACAUCGUGCCCCUCGACGCGGCCGGUGACGAAAUCGACGCCCUUCUCCUUGUGCGAGACCGGCUGCUCCACGACGGCAAGCAGCGCCUGCC